Molecule: transfer RNA, 72 nt
Filed under: Ignavibacteriaceae bacterium
Lineage: Bacteria; Pseudomonadati; Ignavibacteriota; Ignavibacteria; Ignavibacteriales; Ignavibacteriaceae
Description: tRNA-Ala
Rfam family: tRNA
About the family: Transfer RNA (tRNA) molecules are approximately 80 nucleotides in length.
Source: RNAcentral
GGGGCUAUAGUUCAAUUGGUAGAACGACAGGUUCGCAAUCUGUAAAACGGGGUUCAAAUCCCCGUAGCUCCA